RNAcentral lists this ribosomal RNA (468 nucleotides) under uncultured bacterium. RNAcentral's name for it is "partial 16S ribosomal RNA". It matches the Rfam family "Bacterial small subunit ribosomal RNA", at positions 28 to 507 of the family's 1533-position model. The record is from RNAcentral.
GACGAACGCUGGCGGCGUGCUUAACACAUGCAAGUCGAACGGAAAGGCCCUGCUUUUGUGGGGUGCUCGAGUGGCGAACGGGUGAGUAACACGUGAGUAACCUGCCCUUGACUUUGGGAUAACUUCAGGAAACUGGGGCUAAUACCGGAUAGGAGCUCCUGCUGCAUGGUGGGGGUUGGAAAGUUUCGGCGGUUGGGGAUGGACUCGCGGCUUAUCAGCUUGUUGGUGGGGUAGUGGCUUACCAAGGCUUUGACGGGUAGCCGGCCUGAGAGGGUGACCGGCCACAUUGGGACUGAGGUACGGCCCCGACUCCUACGGGGGGCAGCAGUGGGGAAUAUUGCACAAUGGGCGGAAGCCUGAUGCAGCAACCCCGCGUGCGGGAUGACCGCCUUCCGGUUGUAAACCGCUUUCGCCUGUGACGAAGCGUGAGUGACGGUAAUGGGUAAAGAAGCACCGGCUAACUACGUG